Long non-coding RNA from Lagopus leucura (white-tailed ptarmigan), 797 nucleotides. RefSeq lists it as uncharacterized. Lineage: Eukaryota; Metazoa; Chordata; Aves; Galliformes; Phasianidae. The record is from RefSeq and is a predicted model, not a curated record. The transcript has 4 exons.
CAGUUCAAGUCCAUCAGACAGUGCCACCCUCAUGAGGUAAUGUUGUCAUAACUGUGAUGGGAGCCAAGAGUUUACAUAAAAGUUAAAAAGAGAAAGGAGACAUGAAACCAGACUUCUCUGUCAAGUUGUGUUUUCAGGCUGCAUUUGCAGGCAAGAGCACAGGAUGCAACACAGCCACCACCUAGCACAGUGAGGUCUGAGGUUCCAGUGAUGUCAAUGCUGAUUUUUAGAAUUCUGCUCUCUGUUUUGUGAAGCUAUACCAGCAGCGUUUUCCUUAAUCUGCUCUGGAUUUGGCAGAGGUGAUCCCUGAACUCAAUUUGAAGGUCAAUCCCAUGCAGUUUAAGCAGGAACUCUGAAAGCCCUGACAACAUGCUUAAAGCAAACGCUUCGUAGAUUGAAGUCCAAGUACUGGGAGGGGAGGAGACUGCAGAAAAGGGUGGAAGGUGGAUGCACGGAAACUUGACUUCCUGGGGAAAGAGUUGGCUUGUUCCAAGGAGGCUUGCCGCUGGAAGGUGAGGCUGGCCAGACUGAGGUUGCUUCGACGUUCACAGCUGCUGUUACGGUAAAAUCCAGUCCUGCCAGAAGAGUGGGAUGUGGGUCUGGACCGGCGAGUGAAGAGUGAAGAGUUAUCCUGGGAAAUGUGGGCACUAGCUCUGCGACGGGACAAGCAGGAGCUCAUGAGUAGCAGCAUCCGGUGUUCCAACUCCUGACUGCAGAUCAGAGCCUCAUCACCAUCAGUAGCCUUCCGACAAACAUGUAAUGAUUCUGCGUUUUAUAAAGUUAUGUUUGGAAACAUG